GGUUAAGCGACUAAGCGUACACGGUGGAUGCCCUGGCAGUCAGAGGCGAUGAAGGACGUGCUAAUCUGCGAUAAGCGUCGGUAAGGUGAUAUGAACCGUUAUAACCGGCGAUUUCCGAAUGGGGAAACCCAGUGUGUUUCGACACACUAUCAUUAACUGAAUCCAUAGGUUAAUGAGGCGAACCGGGGGAACUGAAACAUCUAAGUACCCCGAGGAAAAGAAAUCAACCGAGAUUCCCCCAGUAGCGGCGAGCGAACGGGGAGCAGCCCAGAGCCUGAAUCAGUGUGUGUGUUAGUGGAAGCGUCUGGAAAGGCGCGCGAUACAGGGUGACAGCCCCGUACACAAAAAUGCACAUGCUGUGAGCUCGAUGAGUAGGGCGGGACACGUGGUAUCCUGUCUGAAUAUGGGGGGACCAUCCUCCAAGGCUAAAUACUCCUGACUGACCGAUAGUGAACCAGUACCGUGAGGGAAAGGCGAAAAGAACCCCGGCGAGGGGAGUGAAAAAGAACCUGAAACCGUGUACGUACAAGCAGUGGGAGCACGCUUAGGCGUGUGACUGCGUACCUUUUGUAUAAUGGGUCAGCGACUUAUAUUCUGUAGCAAGGUUAACCGAAUAGGGGAGCCGAAGGGAAACCGAGUCUUAACUGGGCGUUAAGUUGCAGGGUAUAGACCCGAAACCCGGUGAUCUAGCCAUGGGCAGGUUGAAGGUUGGGUAACACUAACUGGAGGACCGAACCGACUAAUGUUGAAAAAUUAGCGGAUGACUUGUGGCUGGGGGUGAAAGGCCAAUCAAACCGGGAGAUAGCUGGUUCUCCCCGAAAGCUAUUUAGGUAGCGCCUCGUGAAUUCAUCUCCGGGGGUAGAGCACUGUUUCGGCAAGGGGGUCAUCCCGACUUACCAACCCGAUGCAAACUGCGAAUACCGGAGAAUGUUAUCACGGGAGACACACGGCGGGUGCUAACGUCCGUCGUGAAGAGGGAAACAACCCAGACCGCCAGCUAAGGUCCCAAAGUCAUGGUUAAGUGGGAAACGAUGUGGGAAGGCCCAGACAGCCAGGAUGUUGGCUUAGAAGCAGCCAUCAUUUAAAGAAAGCGUAAUAGCUCACUGGUCGAGUCGGCCUGCGCGGAAGAUGUAACGGGGCUAAACCAUGCACCGAAGCUGCGGCAGCGACGCUUAUGCGUUGUUGGGUAGGGGAGCGUUCUGUAAGCCUGCGAAGGUGUGCUGUGAGGCAUGCUGGAGGUAUCAGAAGUGCGAAUGCUGACAUAAGUAACGAUAAAGCGGGUGAAAAGCCCGCUCGCCGGAAGACCAAGGGUUCCUGUCCAACGUUAAUCGGGGCAGGGUGAGUCGACCCCUAAGGCGAGGCCGAAAGGCGUAGUCGAUGGGAAACAGGUUAAUAUUCCUGUACUUGGUGUUACUGCGAAGGGGGGACGGAGAAGGCUAUGUUGGCCGGGCGACGGUUGUCCCGGUUUAAGCGUGUAGGCUGGUUUUCCAGGCAAAUCCGGAAAAUCAAGGCUGAGGCGUGAUGACGAGGCACUACGGUGCUGAAGCAACAAAUGCCCUGCUUCCAGGAAAAGCCUCUAAGCAUCAGGUAACAUCAAAUCGUACCCCAAACCGACACAGGUGGUCAGGUAGAGAAUACCAAGGCGCUUGAGAGAACUCGGGUGAAGGAACUAGGCAAAAUGGUGCCGUAACUUCGGGAGAAGGCACGCUGAUAUGUAGGUGAAGCGACUUGCUCGUGGAGCUGAAAUCAGUCGAAGAUACCAGCUGGCUGCAACUGUUUAUUAAAAACACAGCACUGUGCAAACACGAAAGUGGACGUAUACGGUGUGACGCCUGCCCGGUGCCGGAAGGUUAAUUGAUGGGGUUAGCGCAAGCGAAGCUCUUGAUCGAAGCCCCGGUAAACGGCGGCCGUAACUAUAACGGUCCUAAGGUAGCGAAAUUCCUUGUCGGGUAAGUUCCGACCUGCACGAAUGGCGUAAUGAUGGCCAGGCUGUCUCCACCCGAGACUCAGUGAAAUUGAACUCGCUGUGAAGAUGCAGUGUACCCGCGGCAAGACGGAAAGACCCCGUGAACCUUUACUAUAGCUUGACACUGAACAUUGAGCCUUGAUGUGUAGGAUAGGUGGGAGGCUUAGAAGUGUGGACGCCAGUCUGCAUGGAGCCGACCUUGAAAUACCACCCUUUAAUGUUUGAUGUUCUAACGUUGACCCGUAAUCCGGGUUGCGGACAGUGUCUGGUGGGUAGUUUGACUGGGGCGGUCUCCUCCUAAAGAGUAACGGAGGAGCACGAAGGUUGGCUAAUCCUGGUCGGACAUCAGGAGGUUAGUGCAAUGGCAUAAGCCAGCUUGACUGCGAGCGUGACGGCGCGAGCAGGUGCGAAAGCAGGUCAUAGUGAUCCGGUGGUUCUGAAUGGAAGGGCCAUCGCUCAACGGAUAAAAGGUACUCCGGGGAUAACAGGCUGAUACCGCCCAAGAGUUCAUAUCGACGGCGGUGUUUGGCACCUCGAUGUCGGCUCAUCACAUCCUGGGGCUGAAGUAGGUCCCAAGGGUAUGGCUGUUCGCCAUUUAAAGUGGUACGCGAGCUGGGUUUAGAACGUCGUGAGACAGUUCGGUCCCUAUCUGCCGUGGGCGCUGGAGAACUGAGGGGGGCUGCUCCUAGUACGAGAGGACCGGAGUGGACGCAUCACUGGUGUUCGGGUUGUCAUGCCAAUGGCACUGCCCGGUAGCUAAAUGCGGAAGAGAUAAGUGCUGAAAGCAUCUAAGCACGAAACUUGCCCCGAGAUGAGUUCUCCCUGACCCUUUAAGGGUCCUGAAGGAACGUUGAAGACGACGACGUUGAUAGGCCGGGUGUGUAAGCGCAGCGAUGCGUUGAGCUAACCGGUACUAAUGAACCGUGAGGCUUAACCUUAC
Molecule: ribosomal RNA, 2906 nt
Filed under: Escherichia coli
Lineage: Bacteria; Pseudomonadati; Pseudomonadota; Gammaproteobacteria; Enterobacterales; Enterobacteriaceae
Description: 23S ribosomal RNA
Rfam family: Bacterial large subunit ribosomal RNA
Source: RNAcentral